RNAcentral lists this unclassified non-coding RNA (2311 nucleotides) under uncultured fungus. RNAcentral's name for it is "sequence contains 18S rRNA gene, ITS1, 5.8S rRNA gene, ITS2, 28S rRNA gene". The stretch from base 1274 to 2311 matches the Rfam family "Eukaryotic large subunit ribosomal RNA", at positions 1 to 961 of the family's 3401-position model. The record is from RNAcentral. Lineage: Eukaryota; Fungi.
GGAAGGAUCAUUAUUCUGCAUAAAAAAAACACUUUAGGUUAGCCAACUUCUUUCUUGGCUUUCCGUGGUUUGAGCACCAUGGCAAGUUGAGGAGGAGGAAAGCUGCCUAAUCUAUAAAUAUCUCUAACACAGUAUUUAUUUAAAUAAAGUGCGAGUGAAAAAAGCGAAAGCCUAUUCACUAUGCAAUUGUUUUUCUGCGGGAGGCCUACCGCGUGACCAAGUGGGCUAGGAAGUAAGAUUGGGGACCAGGGGGCAUAGUGUGAGUCAGGGGAGAAGGUACCCUCUCUUGUUUUGCACUGUGUUUUUCCUGGUGUUCGCUUAUUUCUCCUUCACGUUUAUCGGAUCGGAUUCGUAUUAUAAAGACCCAUUUGUCGGGCUUAACAACCUGGCGAAUGUAAAACUUUUUACAACUUAUAGCGGUGGAUUUCUCGGCUUGCGUAUCGAUGAAGAACGUAGCAAACUACGAUAAUUAGUGUGAAUUGCAAAAUACGUGAAUCAUCGAAUCUUUGAAUGCAUACUGCACCGGGGGUCUAACAACCCCUGGUCUAUCCGGUCGAGUGCCGAUUCUUCAUCACUUCCUUUCCAAUGAUAAAAAGUUGGUUUGGUUGUGGAUAUAUGAGGGUAGAGCUUACUUUUUUGUGAGCAUCUUCCCUUUAAAUACACAAAAUGGGUUCCAUCAACAGAGAGCGCUUACUCGCCUUUGGGAGGGGUGCUUUCUUAGUAGUGGGCAUCAAGCCCCCGGCAUGACUAGCUUCGUGUAUCAGCUAAGUCUGUUAGAAAAAUGCUGGGUGCGCAACUUUGGGGAAAACCGAGGAGGUUUUUUCUUCUGUUGUAACUGCUCUCUCACUUGUGGGAGGGUAGUUCGGCAGCAUGAGGUUGGGACGCUGUUCAAAGGCUUCGUGGGCACUUGAGCUUACCAAGAGCUUUUGGGAGUUUACCCGAUUCUCAUUUGAUGAUGGGGGAGCUUUGUGUGUCUUUUUCCUUUUUUUCUUAUUCGUGAGAGGGAGAGGCGAGAGGCAUUCAGGUUGUCACGUUUGAGAGUGGGAUUAGGGAGUCAUAAACUUUCGGAAGUAAGGACGGGGAGGUUCGGGGGUCUGUAGAGCUUGGGGAUGGAUGUUCUGGCUUUGUGGCUUUUCCCUUGUUGCAGUCUUCUUGCCUCACCUUAACGGGUGGGGUGAGAGAUUGUGAUGAGGGAGAAGGAGUUAGCACUUCUUUAUUUGGGGUCCUUUAGUUGUCUAAACAUAACGGGGGAAGGCAUUGCCUUCUUUCUUAACGGCCUCGGCUCGGGUAGGACUACCCGCUGAACUUAAGCAUAUUAGUAAGCGGAGGAAAAGAAAUUAACAAAGAUUCCCUCAGUAACUGCGAGUGAACUGGGAGGGAGCCCAGCCCUGAAUCGGGGGGGAUUCGUCCUCUACCGAAAUGUGGGGUUUGCCGUGAUUGGUCAGGCGUAAGGGUGGACUCGAAGUCAUCUUGGAACAGUGAGCCUUAGAGGGUGAUAGCCCCGUAAGGUUUGCCCAAGCGUCGGACCAGUUGCGGUUAGAGUCGAGUUGUUUGGGAGUACAACUCUAAAGGGUGAUAAAUUUCAUCCAAGGCUAAAUAUUAACGCAAGACCGAUAGCGCACAAGUACCGCGAGGGAAAGAUGCAAAGAACUCUGAAAAGAGAGUUCAAAGUACAUGAAACCGCUAUAAGGGAAAGCGGUGGUUAGGGCAUAUUCAUGCUGUUAGGGGUCUGUCUCUGGGAGUUCUGAGGCGUUUGUUGGGGCGUCGGCAACGGCGUUUCCAGCAGGCGUUUUUGGGAUUUCUAGGGGCGUAUUUCCUGGCAGUGUGUUCACCGAGUAUUUGAUCGUGAUGGCUUUGAAGAACCUGAAAGUCAGUCUUCGGGCUGAUGGAGGGUUUUAGAGGCCUAGUCAAGUACAGGGUUACGCAAGUAACUUGGGCAGCGCUCAGCGCUCAUGAAUGCUGUCCGCGUCGGUGAUUUUAACGUGCCAUACCCACUGACCCGUCUUGAAACACGGACCAAGGAGUCUAUCAGGCUUGCGAGUUCGAGAGCGUAAAAAACUCUAGGGCACAAUGAAAGUAAGAGGUGUGAUAUUCGUAAGAAUUGCAACACCGACCGGUCCAGGCCAUUCGUGGUCAGGAUCGAGUUGUAGCAGGUCUAAUAGAACCCGAAAGGUGGCGAACUAUGCCUGUACAGGAAGAAGCCAGGAGAAAUCCUGGUGGAAGUCCGUAGCGGUAUUGACGUGCAAAUCAUUCGUCAGAUGCAGGUAUAGCGGCGAAAGACCAAUCGAGCCGCCUAGUAGCUGGUUCCCUC